GAUGAACGCUAGCGAUAGGCCUAACACAUGCUAGUCGAGGGGCAGCACAAGGUAGCUUGCUAUCUGGGUGGCGACCGGCGCACGGGUGCGUAACGCGUAUGCAACUUGCCCUAUACAGGAGGAUAACCCGUCGAAAGACGGACUAAUACUGCGUAUGCUCACAACUUGGCAUCAAGUGGUGAGGAAAGAAAUUCGGUAUAGGAUAGGCAUGCGUCCCAUUAGCUUGUUGGUGAGGUAACGGCUCACCAAGGCAACGAUGGGUAGGGGAACUGAGAGGUUUAUCCCCCACACUGGUACUGAGACACGGACCAGACUCCUACGGGAGGCAGCAGUGAGGAAUAUUGAUCAAUGGGCGCGAGCCUGAACCAGCCAAGUCGCGUGAAGGAUGACUGUCUUAUGGAUUGUAAACUUCUUUUAUACGGGAAUAACAAGAGUCACGUGUGACUCCCUGCAUGUACCGUAUGAAUAAGCAUCGGCUAACUCCGUG
This 487-nucleotide ribosomal RNA is filed under the name uncultured bacterium. RNAcentral describes it as "partial 16S ribosomal RNA". It matches the Rfam family "Bacterial small subunit ribosomal RNA", at positions 28 to 507 of the family's 1533-position model. The record is from RNAcentral.